AGUAGUUUGAUCAGUGGCUCGAGGACGAACGCUGGCGGCGUGCCUAACACAUGCAAGUCGAACGGAGUAAGAAUUUCGGUUUUUACUUAGUGGCGAACGGGUGAGUAACGCGUAUCCAACCUUCCCCAUAGUAGGGCAUAGCCCGUAGAAAUGCGGAUUAAUACCCUAUGUUUUCCUUUGCAGGCAUCUAACGAGGAAUAAAGGUUCACCGCUAUGGGAUGGGGAUGCGUCUGAUUAGGUUGCAGGCGGGGUAACGGCCCACCUGGCCAACGAUCAGUAGGGGUUCUGAGAGGAAGGUCCCCCACACUGGUACUGAGACACGGACCAGACUCC
This 333-nucleotide ribosomal RNA is filed under the name uncultured Prevotella sp. Its description in RNAcentral is "bacterial SSU rRNA". It matches the Rfam family "Bacterial small subunit ribosomal RNA", at positions 9 to 339 of the family's 1533-position model. Lineage: Bacteria; Pseudomonadati; Bacteroidota; Bacteroidia; Bacteroidales; Prevotellaceae. The record is from RNAcentral.